RNAcentral lists this ribosomal RNA (455 nucleotides) under uncultured bacterium. RNAcentral's name for it is "bacterial SSU rRNA". It matches the Rfam family "Bacterial small subunit ribosomal RNA", at positions 29 to 506 of the family's 1533-position model. The record is from RNAcentral.
AUGAACGCUGGCGGUGUGCCUAACACAUGCAAGUCGAACGCGCAGUCCCCGGUGCUUGCAUUGGGGGCGGGCGAGUGGCGAACGGGUGCGUAACGCGUGGGAACCUACCCCGAGGUGUGGGACAACAGUUGGAAACGACUGCUAAACCCGCAUAAUCUCGUGCAAGCGAGGAAAACCUUGGUGCCUUGGGAGGGGCCCGCGGCCUAUCAGGUAGUUGGUGAGGUAACGGCUCACCAAGCCGACGACGGGUAGGGGGCGUGAGAGCGUGGCCCCCCACACGGGAACUGAGACACGGUCCCGACGCCUACGGGCGGCAGCAGUGAGGAAUCUUGCCCAAUGGGGGAAACCCUGAGGCAGCGACACCGCGUGCGGGAUGAAGGCCUUCGGGUCGUAAACCGCUUUUCUGGGGGACGAGGAAGGACGGUACCCCAGGAAUAAGUCCCGGCUAACUACGU